GACGAACGCUGGCGGCGUGCCUAAUACAUGCAAGUCGAACGCUUCUUUCCUCCCGAGUGCUUGCACUCAAUUGGAAAGAGGAGUGGCGGACGGGUGAGUAACACGUGGGUAACCUACCCAUCAGAGGGGGAUAACACUUGGAAACAGGUGCUAAUACCGCAUAACAGUUUAUGCCGCAUGGCAUAAGAGUGAAAGGCGCUUUCGGGUGUCGCUGAUGGAUGGACCCGCGGUGCAUUAGCUAGUUGGUGAGGUAACGGCUCACCAAGGCCACGAUGCAUAGCCGACCUGAGAGGGUGAUCGGCUACACUGGGACUGAGACACGGCCCAGACUCCUACGGGAGGCAGCAGUAGGGAAUCUUCGGCAAUGGACGAAAGUCUGACCGAGCAACGCCGCGUGAGUGAAGAAGGUUUUCGGAUCGUAAAACUCUGUUGUUAGAGAAGAACAAGGACGUUAGUAACUGAACGUCCCCUGACGGUAUCUAACCAGAAAGCCACGGCUAACUACGUG
This 508-nucleotide ribosomal RNA is filed under the name uncultured bacterium. RNAcentral's name for it is "partial 16S ribosomal RNA". It matches the Rfam family "Bacterial small subunit ribosomal RNA", at positions 28 to 507 of the family's 1533-position model. The record is from RNAcentral.